This 260-nucleotide long non-coding RNA is filed under the name Dunaliella salina. RNAcentral's name for it is "long non-coding RNA (DSAL_LNC000392)". Lineage: Eukaryota; Viridiplantae; Chlorophyta; Chlorophyceae; Chlamydomonadales; Dunaliellaceae. The record is from RNAcentral.
CUGCGGCUGCUAGCAGCUGAUGCGGCUGUAGCGCGGCUGAAAUUUUUUCAGCCGUGUUCAGCCGCUAGCGGCUGUGAGCAGCCGCACGGCUGAUUUCAGCCGCUUCAGCCGUGUUCAGCUGUUACGUUAUUUUUGUUGACCAGUGCAGGAAGGUGGCAGCCGCUUCAGCCAUGUUCAGCCGCUAGCGGCUGUGAGCAGCCGCACGGCUGAUUUCAGCCGCUUCAGCCGUGUUCAGCCGUGAUGUUAUUUUUGUUGACCAG